Camellia sinensis is the source of this 319-nucleotide non-coding RNA. The record is from RefSeq and is a predicted model, not a curated record. Lineage: Eukaryota; Viridiplantae; Streptophyta; Magnoliopsida; Ericales; Theaceae.
GUGUAUGUAUCUACUUUCUUUUCUAGAUUGGAAUCCGACUAAAUUGCCCAUGGCCUGAGUUGAGGAGGUAUGGGUCUCAAAAGUAGCUACUUUCUUUUCUCCAAGAGAAAUAUGAACCUGUUCAUGCAAAGUGGACAACAGAACGAUGUGCUAUAUGUAGAUGGGUUGAGGAUUGGGACUAUAACAAUAUUGUAAUUUGCAACAGUUACGAUAUCCUUUAAAUCAUUCAAGAGGAUAAAGGUUCAGGAUUAUGGGGGGUCAAUAAAGAGGUGGUCCCUAAGAAGAAAAAUAUUAACGAUGCAGGAAGCCAACUUGCCCC